CGCUUAAUUUGGUUAAAAAUGCAACUUUUACUAAUAUAUCUAACUAGCAAUAAAGUCUAUUGUCAUGACUACGAAUCAGAAGGUUAGGGGUUCGACUCCCUUCGCGACCA
This 110-nucleotide transfer RNA is filed under the name Pontibacter coccineus. RNAcentral describes it as "tRNA-Ser". The record is from RNAcentral. Lineage: Bacteria; Pseudomonadati; Bacteroidota; Cytophagia; Cytophagales; Hymenobacteraceae.